CAUUUUCUGAGCGAUUAGGUAGGUUUUAUAGCAAGAAAGCAUAGCUGAAGUUUUUUGGGUUAUCUUUUAGAUUACACUGAGUGUCACACAUACUGGCUCUCUGUUAAACAAACCAGCUUUGCUGUCUUAUCAAGUGACAGCCAAGGCCAUUGUCUUUUUUGCUUUUUCUGAUGAGAAGUCGGGCUCUUUCUGAGUGAGUUCUAAAGAAACACAUCCUCUGGUGGAUCUGAAUUCUAAUUCAUCUUGUAAGCAGGACUCCUCACGUCCUUAUCUUACACGUAUGCAACUUAUCUUAGACUCGGGUCUGAGGCACGGCCUUUUCAGGGCAACUUGUGAGAGUCCGAUCUCUUCUUCCCACUCUGCCGUGGCGACAAGGGUGGGACUCAGGCCAUCCGACUUGGCAGCAAGCCUCUCUUUGAGCCAUCUUUCCUACAUCUGUUUAUAUGACCUCACCUUUCUUACUGUGACCAGCGACACUGAUCUUAUUUCUCCUCAUCUUGAGUCACUUCAAGAAGAGUCAUGAUCAAGAAGGAUGGACACAAGAACCAACUUAGAGCAUGGCUAAGUUACUAACUGUGCCAUGUUGGACAGAUCUGUGAAACUUGGUUCCAUUUGUGAAUGGAACAAGAGUGUUGAAUGAAUAGUAGAUUACAAGCUACAUGCAAGAAGCCACCUCAUAUGCCAGAUGGAGCCGGGAUAGUGCCAGGCACGUAAGAGAUGUUCAUUAAGUAUUUGCUAACAAAUGCAAAAAUGGCCACAGCACACAGGUAUAUCUGAUAGAAAUAGGACUUGACCUUUCCAAUUUGUUUUUGAGAUUAUAAUAUAAUUAUAUCAUUUCCCCCUUUCCUUUCCUCACUCCAAACUACCAUAUACCCUCCUUGCUCACUUUUAAAUUCAUGACUCUUUUUUCAAUAAUUGUUGUUGUUGUUUGUAGCAGUGUGUGUGUGUGUAUUCCUAAAUACAUAAUACAACCUGCCCAGCCUAUAUAGUAUUGUUUGCAUGUAUUUUAGGGCUGACCAUUUGGUGAUGGAUAACAAAUUGGUGCGUUCUUCCCUGGGAACGCUAUUUCUCCGACUCUCAGAGUUGCUUGGUUACCUGUUUUUCCCUGUGUAGAGUUGAGGCCUAUGGGCUUUCCCCACACAAACAUUACAUUUCUAUUGUUAUUGGCCUUGUUCUUCUCACAUUUGGGUAGUCAUGUUGGUGAGACUCCCUGGAUGUAGCUUUUGACAUUCCUAGGAGACACAGUUUCUCCGUAGACUCUCCGUUCCUCUGGGUCUUAUAAUCUUUCCAUCCGUUCGUCCUCAGAGAUCCCUGAGCCUUAGUUAGGUACAGGGCUUAUGUUGUAGAUACGUCAUGUGGGACUGGGAAGGUGUAAGUCUUCUUCUAUCUUACUGGAGUCACACCCAUCAGGGGGGUCCACUGUAUCUAUGCAUUCAUCCCCGAUCCUUCCCACUCAGUGUCAAGCAGCAUUAGUGCAGCACCUGAUUGCAACACCAUGUCUUAGCAUGGCCUUGAUGCUCCCACUCGCCCAGCUCUGCAACCUUCCAAUUUGCAUCUGUCUCUAUGACUAGGUCCUGAUUUUUUUA
This is a long non-coding RNA of Mus musculus (house mouse), 1586 nucleotides long. RefSeq annotates it as predicted gene, 40541. The record is from RefSeq and is a predicted model, not a curated record. The transcript has 3 exons. Lineage: Eukaryota; Metazoa; Chordata; Mammalia; Rodentia; Muridae.